Molecule: transfer RNA, 87 nt
Filed under: Paractinoplanes tereljensis
Lineage: Bacteria; Bacillati; Actinomycetota; Actinomycetes; Micromonosporales; Micromonosporaceae
Description: Actinoplanes tereljensis tRNA-Ala
Source: RNAcentral
GACGGUCCUGGUGCAGGGGGCCACCGGCGUCGCCGGCCGGCUGGCGGUCAAGAUCGCCCGGCUGCUGGGCGCCGGCCGGGUCGUCGC